Molecule: ribosomal RNA, 58 nt
Filed under: Ligilactobacillus ruminis S23
Lineage: Bacteria; Bacillati; Bacillota; Bacilli; Lactobacillales; Lactobacillaceae
Source: RNAcentral
GCAUGGAGGAUAUACCUGUUCCCAUUCCGAACACAGAAGUCAAGCUCCAUAGCGCCGA